RNAcentral lists this ribosomal RNA (430 nucleotides) under Bacteroidota bacterium. RNAcentral describes it as "Bacteroidetes bacterium partial 16S ribosomal RNA". It matches the Rfam family "Bacterial small subunit ribosomal RNA", at positions 355 to 776 of the family's 1533-position model. Lineage: Bacteria; Pseudomonadati; Bacteroidota. The record is from RNAcentral.
UAGGGAAUCUUCGGCAAUGGGGGGAACCCUGACCGAGCAACGCCGCGUGAGUGAAGAAGGUUUUCGGAUCGUAAAGCUCUGUUGUUAAGGAAGAACGAGUGUGAGAAUGGAAAGUUCAUGCUGUGACGGUACUUAACCAGAAAGGGACGGCUAACUACGUGCCAGCAGCCGCGGUAAUACGUAGGUGGCAAGCGUUGUCCGGAUUUAUUGGGCGUAAAGCGAGCGCAGGCGGUCAAUUAAGUCUGAUGUGAAAGCCCCCGGCUCAACCGGGGAGGGUCAAUGGAAACUGGUUGACUUGAGUGCAGAAGAGGAGAGUGGAAUUCCAUGUGUAGCGGUGAAAUGCGUAGAUAUAUGGAGGAACACCAGUGGCGAAGGCGACUCUCUGGUCUGUAACUGACGCUGAGGCUCGAAAGCGUGGGUAGCAAACAGG